GGGUCAGCAGGUUGGUCGUGCCACUGGUAUGCACUGGCUUCGCUGAUUCCUCCUUUCUGAAGAACUGUAAUGUCAUUAAUUUGGUGUUGCAGGGAAACAGGACUGUUACUUUGAAAAAAUUAGAGUGUUUAAAGCAGGCUUACGCUUGAAUACAUUAGCAUGGAAUAAUUGAAAUAGGACGUUUAAUUCUAUUUUGUUGGUUUCUAGGAUUGACGUAAUGAUUAAUAGGGAUAGUUGGGC
Molecule: ribosomal RNA, 240 nt
Filed under: uncultured Glomeromycotina
Lineage: Eukaryota; Fungi; Glomeromycota
Description: partial 18S ribosomal RNA
Rfam family: Eukaryotic small subunit ribosomal RNA
Source: RNAcentral